RNAcentral lists this small RNA (352 nucleotides) under Cryptococcus neoformans H99. RNAcentral's name for it is "Cryptococcus neoformans var. grubii H99 hypothetical RNA". The record is from RNAcentral. Lineage: Eukaryota; Fungi; Basidiomycota; Tremellomycetes; Tremellales; Cryptococcaceae.
CGCAGCGCUGUCACACCCGACAGUCACACUGGCAAAAAGGGUGUCUACGUCUAUGGCCAACUCCACUUUUAUCUUUGUCAGCUUCCGGCUUGGCAACGACUCUACCUGGACUAGUAGUAGUCGCUCUUCGUUUCUUACAACCGCUGCGUGCUGUGUCGAUGGGAGCAGAGAACGGGAUCAAAUACUGUCGUGCCCUACGUAAUACGCAAAAAGUUGCGUGUUUGUUCUUUUCCUUUCGUUCGUCCGCUUAUCCUUCAUUUAUCUGGGACUCCUUGUAAUAGAUGAUAAAACACUUUUUCGAUAAACCAGAAUGCGGAACGAACUGAUGAGGAGCUAGUAUGCAAUAGUGCCA